Molecule: long non-coding RNA, 263 nt
Organism: Formica exsecta
Lineage: Eukaryota; Metazoa; Arthropoda; Insecta; Hymenoptera; Formicidae
Exons: 2
Source: RefSeq, a predicted model, not a curated record
AUUAUGUUUUAUUCUCAAAAUCACUUGGAUCUGUUUGUUUUUCUGUAACAAUAUUUGUUGAGGUUUCUACACGUAGAAUGAAAUAAAUGCAAAUAUAUAUUCGAGUUUUGGAAAGAAAAAGGAAAAAAAUAAAGUGCAGCAAAUAUAGCUGAAAAACAUCUGAUUUGUAAUAGGAAUUAAAGCUGGUAUAAUUCCAUUGAAUUGAAUAAUAUUAUUGUAAUACACACACAAUAAUAAUAUAUCGCUAAAGUAAGAUAGCACAA